GAUGAACGCUGGCGGCGUGCCUAAUACAUGCAAGUCGAGCGAACGGACGAGAAGCUUGCUUCUCUGAUGUUAGCGGCGGACGGGUGAGUAACACGUGGAUAACCUACCUAUAAGACUGGGAUAACUUCGGGAAACCGUAGCUAAUACCGGAUAAUAUUUUGAACCGCAUGGUUCAAAAGUGAAAGACGGUCUUGCUGUCACUUAUAGAUGGAUCCGUGCUGCAUUAGCUAGUUGGUAAGGUAACGGCUUACCAAGGCAACGAUGCAUAGCCGACCUGAGAGGGUGAUCGGCCACACUGGAACUGAGACACGGUCCAGACUCCUACGGGAGGCAGCAGUAGGGAAUCUUCCGCAAUGGGCGAAAGCCUGACGGAGCAACGCCGCGUGAGUGAUGAAGGUCUUCGGAUCGUAAAACUCUGUUAUUAGGGAAGAACAUAUGUGUAAGUAACUAUGCACGUCUUGACGGUACCUAAUCAGAAAGCCACGGCUAACUACGUG
Molecule: ribosomal RNA, 497 nt
Filed under: uncultured bacterium
Lineage: Bacteria
Description: partial 16S ribosomal RNA
Rfam family: Bacterial small subunit ribosomal RNA
Source: RNAcentral